Non-coding RNA from Trachymyrmex cornetzi, 47 nucleotides. The record is from Rfam. NCBI's taxonomy places the organism in Eukaryota, Metazoa, Arthropoda, Insecta, Hymenoptera, Formicidae.
CAAUCGGCCCUUUUCAGGGCCACCAAACACUCUGUAAAGACUACUCU